AGUGCCGCUGUUUAGACUAAUUACACCUUUUUUUUUUGUCUCGUCUUGUAUUGUUGUAUAAGUUCAGGACUGCUAAAAAGCGAAUGAAAAAUUAACAGCGAUCAUUUUUGUUCUCUCUAGUUUAGCCAUGCUGAUAACAUAGAUUUUGCUGGUUCUUUUGACUGUGGAAUUGUUGGUCACAGGCUUUGGCACCGACGAGGAAAUAAAACAGAUGUACCGCUUAUUUCUGGAAGAUGAAAAUCCUAUAGAUACAGCGGUAGAAGAAUGCGAGGUAACUUACGAAAAAGUCGGAUGCUUUUCUGACAAACUAAAUAACGGAGCGCUUCCAGAUUUCAUCCUCGGUGAUCGAGACAAACUAAAAUGGCAACCUGAGGAAUGGAAGAAAUUUUUAAAGAGGCGGAAGCGGAGGUGGAUUACGUGAAGCAUAAAGAAGGAUUAAUCCACUUUUGCCUUAGACGGCAGCUUCAGUUCAAAUGAAUCUCAAAUAAAAUGCAAA
RNA transcript from Stylophora pistillata, 496 nucleotides. RefSeq lists it as uncharacterized. The record is from RefSeq and is a predicted model, not a curated record. Lineage: Eukaryota; Metazoa; Cnidaria; Anthozoa; Scleractinia; Pocilloporidae.